GCUGGAGUUGCUAGUAAUCGCGGAUCAGCAUGCCGCGGUGAAUACGUUCCCGGGCCUUGUACACACCGCCCGUCACACCAUGGGAGUUGGGAGCGCCCGAAGCCGGUGAGGUAACCGAGAGGAGCCAGCCGUCGAAGGUGAGACCAAUGACUGGGGUGAAGUCGUAACAAGGUACC
RNAcentral lists this ribosomal RNA (176 nucleotides) under uncultured bacterium. RNAcentral's name for it is "partial 16S ribosomal RNA". It matches the Rfam family "Bacterial small subunit ribosomal RNA", at positions 1325 to 1500 of the family's 1533-position model. The record is from RNAcentral.